UAGGGAAUCUUCGGCAAAGGACGGAAGUCUGACCGAGCAACGCCGCGUGAGUGAAGAAGGUUUUCGGAUCGUAAAGCUCUGUUGUAAGAGAAGAACGAGUGUGAGAGUGGAAAGUUCACACUGUGACGGUAUCUUACCAGAAAGGGACGGCUAACUACGUGCCAGCAGCCGCGGUAAUACGUAGGUCCCGAGCGUUGUCCGGAUUUAUUGGGCGUAAAGCGAGCGCAGGCGGUUAGAUAAGUCUGAAGUUAAAGGCUGUGGCUUAACCAUAGUACGCUUUGGAAACUGUUUAACUUGAGUGCAAGAGGGGAGAGUGGAAUUCCAUGUGUAGCGGUGAAAUGCGUAGAUAUAUGGAGGAACACCGGUGGCGAAAGCGGCUCUCUGGCUUGUAACUGACGCUGAGGCUCGAAAGCGUGGGGAGCAAACAGGAUUAGAUACCCUGGUAGUCCACGCCGUAAACGAUGAGUGCUAGGUGUUAGACCCUUUCCGGGGUUUAGUGCCGUAGCUAACGCAUUAAGCACUCCGCCUGGGGAGUACGACCGCAAGGUUG
RNAcentral lists this ribosomal RNA (550 nucleotides) under uncultured bacterium. RNAcentral describes it as "bacterial SSU rRNA". It matches the Rfam family "Bacterial small subunit ribosomal RNA", at positions 355 to 896 of the family's 1533-position model. The record is from RNAcentral.